UAGAGUUUCCUGCUUCUCUAAAAAGCAGGUGGUGCGGAUGGAGGUAACACUCCCGCCCUGUUUCUUGCUUCAGGUCAAAGAGCAAGUGGCGUGCAUGUAA
Molecule: non-coding RNA, 100 nt
Filed under: unclassified sequences
Description: wcaG RNA
Rfam family: wcaG RNA
Source: RNAcentral